UAGAGUUUGAUCAUGGCUCAGGACGAACGCAGGCGGCGUGCCUAACACAUGCAAGUCGAACGGAUGUAGCAAUACAUUAGUGGCGAACGGGUGAGUAACACGUAAGCGACCUACCCUCAAGACUGGUACAACUAGUCGAAAGAUUGGCUAAUUCCAGAUGUGGUCACAGAAUUUCAUGGUUCUGUGAUUAAAUCCCGCAAGGGGCUUGAGGAUGGGCUUGCGGCCUAUCAGCUAGUUGGCGGGGUAACGGCCCACCAAGGCAAUGACGGGUAACUGGUCUGAGAGGACGACCAGUCACAAGGGAACUGAGACACGGUCCCUACUCCUACGGGAGGCAGCAGUGAGGAAUUUUCCGCAAUGGGCGAAAGCCUGACGGAGCGACGCCGUGUGUGGGAUGACGUUUUUCGGAAUGUAAACCACUGUCAGAGGGGAAGAUAUUGACGGUACCCUCAGAGGAAGGCCCGGCUAACUACGUGCCAGCAGCCGCGGUAAUACGUAGGGGCCAAGCGUUGUCCGGAAUUACUGGGCGUAAAGGGCGUGUAGGCGGUCUGGUAAGUCAGGUGUUAAAUCCACGGGCUCAACCCGUGGCUGCAUUUGAUACUGCCAAACUAGAGAGUGCUAGAGGAAAGCGGAACUUCCGGUGUAGCGGUGAAAUGCGUAGAUAUCGGAAGGAACACCAGUGGCGAAGGCGGCUUUCUGGGGCACUUCUGACGCUGAGACGCGAAAGCCAGGGGAGCAAACGGGAUUAGAUACCCCGGUAGUCCUGGCCGUAAACGAUGCCAACUGGGCGUUGGUGGUGAAAGCCAUCAGGGUCGGAGCGAACGCGGUAAGUUGGCCGCCUGGGGAGUACGACCGCAAGGUUAAAACUCAAAGGAAUUGACGGGGGCCCGCACAAGCAGCGGAGCGUGUGGUUUAAUUCGAGGCAACACGAAGAACCUUACCUGGGUUAGACAUCCACCUGGUAAUGAGAUGAAAGUCGAGUGACCCUUCGGGGAGGGUGGACAGGUGCUGCAUGGCUGUCGUCAGCUCGUGCCGUGAGGUGUUAGGUUAAGUCCUGUAACGAGCGCAACCCUUACAGCCAGUUACAAGUGUCUGGCAGGACUGCCGGUGUGAAGCCGGAGGAAGGUGGGGAUGACGUCAAGUCAGCAUGGCCUUUAUAUCCUGGGCUACACACACGCUACAAUGGAUACUACAGAGCGUUGCCAAGCCGCGAGGCGGAGCUAAUCGCACAAAAGUAUCCUCAGUUCAGAUUGCAGGCUGCAACUCGCCUGCAUGAAGUCGGAGUUGCUAGUAAACGCGCGUCAGCUAUAGUGCGUUGAAUGCGUUCCCGGGCCUUGUACUCACCGCCCGUCACGUCAUGGAAGUUGGUAACACCUGAAGUCGGUGACCGAACCGCAAGGACGGAGCCGCCGAGGGUGGGACUGAUAACUGGGACGAAGUCGUAACAAGGUAACCGUAA
RNAcentral lists this ribosomal RNA (1459 nucleotides) under uncultured Caldilineae bacterium. Its description in RNAcentral is "partial 16S ribosomal RNA". It matches the Rfam family "Bacterial small subunit ribosomal RNA". The record is from RNAcentral. Lineage: Bacteria; Bacillati; Chloroflexota; Caldilineae.